Molecule: ribosomal RNA, 220 nt
Filed under: uncultured bacterium
Lineage: Bacteria
Description: partial 16S ribosomal RNA
Rfam family: Bacterial small subunit ribosomal RNA
Source: RNAcentral
GACGAACGCUGGCGGCGUGCUUAACACAUGCAAGUCGAGCGGUAAGGCCCUUUCGGGGGUACACGAGGCGGCGAACGGGUGAGUAACACGUGGGUGACCUGCCCUCAGCUCUGGGAUAAGCCUGGGAACCGGGUCUAAUACCGGAUAUGACUCCAUGACGCAUGUUGUGGGGUGGAAAGCCUUGUGCGGCGUGAGGAUGGGCCCGCGGCCUAUCAGCUUG